CCGGGCCAGGUCCUAGUAUAAGCAUUAUACGGCGAAACUGCGAAUGGCUCAUUAUAUAAGUUAUCGUUUAUUUGAUAGCACCUUACUACUUGGAUAACCGUGGUAAUUCUAGAGCUAAUACAUGCUGAAAAUCCCGACUUCGGAAGGGAUGUAUUUAUUAGAUUAAAAACCAAUGCCCUCUGGGCUCUCUGGUGAUUCAUGAUAACUGCGCGAAUCGCAUGGCCUUGCGCCGGCGAUGGUUCAUUCAAAUUUCUUCCCUAUCAACUUUCGAUGUUUGGGUAGUGGCCAAACAUGGUUGCAACGGGUAACGGAGGGUUAGGGCUCGGCCCCGGAGAAGGAGCCUGAGAAACGGCUACUACAUCCAAGGAAGGCAGCAGGCGCGCAAAUUACCCAAUCCCGACACGGGGAGGUAGUGACAAUAAAUACUGAUACAGGGCUCUUUUGGGUCUUGUAAUUGGAAUGAGUACAAUUUAAAUCCCUUAACGAGGAACAAUUGGAGGGCAAGUCUGGUGAACGUUGCUGGUGCCAGAGAUAGCCGCCCCUCGAUAAAUAAAGCAGCUAGUCGAGUGCUCAUGAAGUGACGGGUGAGCACCGGCGAGACAACCUGGGUCGGGGAAGGCUAAGGGCCCCCGCAUGGGGCCUAUGCUAAUCCCGAGCAGAGCCGGUACUUCGCGGCCUGUGUAGAGCGCGCCAAGGUGUCGGUCCGGGGGGUUCGCAUCCCCCCCGGGCUUAAGGUACGUGCCAAUCCCCUGCGAAAGCAGGGCCCUGCGGACGGAGCACCCGUCAUGCGAAGCCGCAGGGGGCAGGGGCGCCCGCCGGGGCGCCCCCGCCGUGAACGACAGUGGCCAGCAGCCGCGGUAAUUCCAGCUCCAAUAGCGUAUAUUAAAGUUGUUGUGGUUAAAAAGCUCGUAGUUGAACCUUGGGCCUGGCCGGCCGGUCCGCCUCACCGCGUGCACUGGUCCGGCCGGGCCUUUCCCCCCGCGGAACCCCAUGCCCUUCACUGGGCGUGGCGGGGAAACGGGACUUUUACUUUGAAAAAAUUAGAGUGCUCCAGGCAGGCCUAUGCUCGAAUACAUUAGCAUGGAAUAAUGAAAUAGGACGUGCGGUUCUAUUUUGUUGGUUUCUAGGACCGCCGUAAUGAUUAAUAGGGACAGUCGGGGGCAUCAGUAUUCAAUUGUCAGAGGUGAAAUUCUUGGAUUUAUUGAAGACUAGCUACUGCGAAAGCAUUUGCCAAGGAUGUUUUCAUUAAUCAGGAACGAAAGUUAGGGGAUCGAAGACGAUCAGAUACCGUCGUAGUCUUAACCAUAAACUAUGCCGACUAGGGAUCGGACGAUGUUAUCUUUUGACUCGUUCGGCACCUUACGAGAAAUCAAAGUGCUUGGGCUCCAGGGGGAGUAUGGUCGCAAGGCUGAAACUUAAAGG
Molecule: ribosomal RNA, 1422 nt
Filed under: Ophiocordyceps longissima
Lineage: Eukaryota; Fungi; Ascomycota; Sordariomycetes; Hypocreales; Ophiocordycipitaceae
Description: bacterial SSU rRNA
Rfam family: Eukaryotic small subunit ribosomal RNA
Source: RNAcentral